UGCUCAAUGAUUGAACCAUGUUAAUCAUGGUAAUAUACGCUAUUCUGAGCCACUUGAGGAUGCAUUAGCUUUAUGAGAGCA
This 81-nucleotide small nucleolar RNA is filed under the name Setaria italica (foxtail millet). Its description in RNAcentral is "snoRNA U54". It matches the Rfam family "Small nucleolar RNA U54". From Rfam's summary of the family: U54 is a C/D box small nucleolar RNA, which acts as a methylation guide for 18S ribosomal RNA in plants. The record is from Rfam by way of RNAcentral. Lineage: Eukaryota; Viridiplantae; Streptophyta; Magnoliopsida; Poales; Poaceae.